UCUCCGUUGGUGAACCAGCGGAGGGAUCAUUACCGAGUUUACAACUCCCAAACCCCAUGUGAACCUUACCAAACGUUGCUUCGGCGGGAUGCCCCGGGCGCGGGCCGCAAGGCCUCAACCCCGGAACCAGGCGCCCGCCGGAGGCCCAAACCAAACUCUUGUUUUUGUAGAAUCUUCUGAGUGGCCUUUUAGGCAAAAAAUGAAUCAAAACUUUCAACAACGGAUCUCUUGGUUCUG
Molecule: unclassified non-coding RNA, 237 nt
Filed under: plant metagenome
Description: partial contains small subunit ribosomal RNA, internal transcribed spacer 1, and 5.8S ribosomal RNA
Source: RNAcentral